This 305-nucleotide ribosomal RNA is filed under the name uncultured bacterium. Its description in RNAcentral is "bacterial SSU rRNA". It matches the Rfam family "Bacterial small subunit ribosomal RNA", at positions 332 to 636 of the family's 1533-position model. The record is from RNAcentral.
UUGACCUACGGGGGGCAGCAGUGAGGAAUAUUGGUCAAUGGGCGCGAGCCUGAACCAGCCAAGUCGCGUGAGGGAAGACGGUCCUAUGGAUUGUAAACCUCUUUUGUCGGGGAGCAAAAGACGCCACGCGUGGCGUUCCGAGAGUACCCGAAGAAAAAGCAUCGGCUAACUCCGUGCCAGCAGCCGCGGUAAUACGGAAGGUCCGGGCGUUAUCCGGAUUUAUUGGGUUUAAAGGGAGCGUAGGCCGGCUUUUAAGUCAGCUGUGAAAGUCCGCGGCUCAACCGUGGAAUUGCAGUUGAAACUGG